AACGAACGCUGGCGGCAUGCCUAACACAUGCAAGUCGAACGAGACCUUCGGGUCUAGUGGCGCACGGGUGCGUAACGCGUGGGAACCUGCCCUUAGGUUCGGAAUAACUCCCCGAAAGGGGUGCUAAUACCGGAUAAUGUCUUCGGACCAAAGAUUUAUCGCCUUUGGAUGGGCCCGCGUUGGAUUAGCUAGUUGGUAGGGUAAAAGCCUACCAAGGCGACGAUCCAUAGCUGGUCUGAGAGGAUGAUCAGCCACACUGGGACUGAGACACGGCCCAGACUCCUACGGGAGGCAGGAGUGGGGGAUAUUGGACAAUGGGCGGAAGGCUGAUCCAGCAAUGCCGGGUGAGUGAUGAAGGCCUUAGGGUUGGAAAGCUCUUUUACCCGGGAUGAUAAUGACAGUACCGGGAGAAUAAGCUCCGGCUAACUCCGUG
Molecule: ribosomal RNA, 433 nt
Filed under: uncultured bacterium
Lineage: Bacteria
Description: partial 16S ribosomal RNA
Rfam family: Bacterial small subunit ribosomal RNA
Source: RNAcentral